Molecule: ribosomal RNA, 496 nt
Filed under: uncultured bacterium
Lineage: Bacteria
Description: partial 16S ribosomal RNA
Rfam family: Bacterial small subunit ribosomal RNA
Source: RNAcentral
GAUGAACGCUGGGGCGUGCCUAAUACAUGCAAGUCGAGCGAACAGACGAGGAGCUUGCUCCUCUGACGUUAGCGGCGGACGGGUGAGUAACACGUGGAUAACCUACCUAUAAGACUGGGAUAACUUCGGGAAACCGGAGCUAAUACCGGAUAAUAUAUUGAACCGCAUGGUUCAAUAGUGAAAGACGGUUUUGCUGUCACUUAUAGAUGGAUCCGCGCCGCAUUAGCUAGUUGGUAAGGUAACGGCUUACCAAGGCAACGAUGCGUAGCCGACCUGAGAGGGUGAUCGGCCACACUGGAACUGAGACACGGUCCAGACUCCUACGGGAGGCAGCAGUAGGGAAUCUUCCGCAAUGGGCGAAAGCCUGACGGAGCAACGCCACGUGAGUGAUGAAGGUCUUCGGAUCGUAAAACUCUGUUAUUAGGGAAGAACAAAUGUGUAAGUAACUAUGCACGUCUUGACGGUACCUAAUCAGAAAGCCACGGCUAACUACGUG